Long non-coding RNA from Megalops cyprinoides (Indo-Pacific tarpon), 4543 nucleotides. RefSeq lists it as uncharacterized. The record is from RefSeq and is a predicted model, not a curated record. Lineage: Eukaryota; Metazoa; Chordata; Actinopteri; Elopiformes; Megalopidae. The transcript is spliced from 4 exons.
GCGACAUCCAGUGAUCUUCCACAUCUUUCCAUCUCGCGGCGGUUCGGAGGCACAAUCUCUGUAGAGCUGGAUGCGCUUUACGCGCCCCUUCCCCUCUGAUAUGGACGCAAGUGGGGUCUACCUGCGGAAGUGUGCUUGGCCCGAAGACUCGGACAGACCGAACGACGCAAAUGCAAGAGAUAUGACCUCCUGGCUGAUUGAAAGGCAGCUGCAAAACCUGCAGAAGCCCCCCGGCCCCCCAUCUUCCCCCCACCCCCAGCCUCAGCCACUGCCUAAACAGGACCCCGAGACCCAAUGAGAGCUUCAGCUGGCCAACUGUGAAGGGAAAGAAGGCACAGAGGGAUGAGGUAUCGAGUCGUUGAACACAGCUUGAUGUCACAGACAUCAUCCAGAAUGUGGGGACCUAGCACCUGGACUUCAUCACCUGGCCUGCUUGCACCUCGUAAUGGGGACUCUCAUCAGUGCAAUGGCUGGACAUUCAGACUGGUUAGACUCUCAUAUGAAUAGUACCACAGAAACUAGUUUUGUUAGGGAGAUGCAAAAAUUCAGGUCUAAUUAAAUUAUUUCUGCAACAGGAAGAAGAUUAAUAACUUGCACAACAACCGCCCAGAGAUUUACAAGUUAAACUAUCUGCACAUUUCUUUUUUGUACAUGAAGCUACAAGAGUACCUCUACACUUCAACCUGCAUCUUCCCCAGAGCUUUCCAGUGGGUUAUGAAUCAUUCUGAUAUUGCAGAUAUAACAGGUGAUAUAGUGAACCUUUAAUGGCUGGUGUUGGGAACUCAUUUGCUCCACAUCCCAGUCAGACUGACAGUUAGGCUACUUUUACAGCUCUCACCAAUGGUGUUUCAUCAAAGUUACAAACCCACUUUAGUAUAACAGUGGGUUUAGAAUAACAGCUCAACUGAACUUCUUGAACUGGAACAUAAUUAUGCUCAUUCAGAAUCACAGAAAAAAUAAAGUAGAAUUGCAACUGAGUUAGAUAAUGCAGAUGUUCUUAAAAUCCCAUGAGUCUGCAUUGGUGUGGAGGGGUCUUACUAGGGUUUUAACCUGCAUUCUGCCGUGAAGACCAGUCAGUGUGGUCCAGGAUCUCAGCCUUGAGUACUGGCAGAGCCCCUGUUUUGGCAGCAGUUCCCAGGUUUCCCCAGGCUGAGAACAAGAGAUGAGUCACAUGAGGGUGUGUUCCACUUUCUGCUGCUCUCUUUUUACUCUGUUCCUCUUCAGGAGCCCAGGAGCUUGCUGGUAGAAAGGGGUCUUGUGGCCCUACGACGCCUUACCUCAACUGCGGUAUGUGUAUCCAUCUGGCUCCUCAGAGGGGGGGCCUCGACAAUGCUACCGUGCCAUGAAGAAGUGGGACAUAAAAACUCAAUUCACACAGGGAUGUCCUCCACUGUUUCCAUUGCAGGAGGCCACACAACAUUUCCAUUGCAGGAGGCCACACUACAUACAUUUAGAAACCACUUGAUAAUGACUAUAGAUCCCUUGCUGCUAAGCAGAGUAAGCUGUGCCAGAAUUGAGGUGGGAUCAGUGACCUGGAUGGAUUUGACUCAAAUGUAAUUCAUAAGAGGAUCCCACAUGGUCAAAUAGGAAAUGAAUACUCUGACAUAGUGUUGAUUAUACAUUUUUGCCCACCAAGCACGAAGACUAAUCAUAAUGAAAUAACAUGUCUGAAGUACGUCAACAGAGAGAUGAACGGUAUUUAAUGCUCAACUGCAUUUUCCAAAGAAUAACAAAUCUUAAUCUUGGGUUGUUUAAAAUAAUAGCCUUUAAUCUGUUAUGAUGGCCAUUGAGCAUUCUGAAUCCUGGGAGAAUAUCAUGUAAUUGCUCCUCGGUGGAAUUCUCCUUUGAAAGACGUCAAAAUGAUGGUGAUUUUCUUCCUAAUUUUCUUGUUGCCUUGGUUGUCAAACCAGGAGGUCUGGAGAUUUUGGAGUGUCCUUUGAACAGCUCCAUCCACUAAACAGCAGGCUCUUAAACAUGAGGCUUCACUGUGCUGUCUGACUUCAGCAUCCACACGUCCUCUCCUAGGCUGCUGCAGUACUCCAGGGAACCCACCACUCUCUGCAUGCCCAGUGCAGCCCUCACAGCAUACACUAGCUCCCUCUUCUGAAAAAAGAUGCAGUAUGUCUAACCCAUGCGGCGGAGCUGUUACCAUCCCCUGCUGAGUGCGCCCCCCCCUCCCCCGGAGAGUGAAUUAUUCAAGCAGAGGGAGGCUCAACAUGUCGACCGAAGAAGAGGAUCAGUGCUGACAGCAGUCUGGGUCUGAGCUCCAACCUGCGUCUGCAUCUGUUUAUACUCAACAGCGUAUAUGAAGUGUCAUCAAAGUGGAGGGACUUCAGCAAUAUGCUCCUCAAAUUAGUUACGCCUUGCCGUUUGAUCCAAUUGAGCACGAUGACAGAUGACUCACAUCCCCAGUCAUAUGUCUUGUGUGUUUAUCCACCUCUGUGGCUGUCUGGAAUUUGAGGGGAGGGGCAGGGAAGGUAUAAAAGCUCAGGUGAUGCUCAGUCUCGUCACUGCUGACACAGAAGCAGUCACAGCGACAGACACGCAUACAGUAUACUCAACCGCCUGCAGAUACACGCACACACAAAUGCACAAACUGGACUAAUAAACAGGAUUUGUAGGUGGAAUUCUCUUUUGGUGCCUUAAAGCAAGCUGGUGGGCGCACUGUGGGUGCGUGUGAAGGGGUGCAGAUAAAUUUCCUGGCGAGAAAAUCUUGCUCUGGCAGAAUCAAUACUCAUAGCAGCUCCACAUCAGAACGUCUCAAAAAGCCUGCCUAGUUCUGACUCAAAGACUGAUUCAGGCAUUUACCACGUGGUAGUCUAGCUGAGGUAGGUGGUACCUAGCAGGACAGGUGUAUGAUUUGUGACAAAAGAGGAGAGGAAAGCUGGCCAUAAGACUGAGGGCCUUUUUGUCUUUGUCAGCUUGUUUUUUUGAUGGAAGGAUUUACAGUGGAUGGGAGACAGAGUUGGAUAGAAAAUACCAGGAUGAGCAGGGUGUUUGCCUGAGGUGGAGCAGCACUUUGGUGAGAGAGAGCUUUAGUGUGUCUGAUUGUAGUUCAGGUUGUGUUGAGAGGAGGCCUUCGCAAGGGAGGGCUGUACCUGAGGGUUUUACCUCAUCUGAUUUGGUUGUAGAUUAAUGGAAGGAAAUCUGAUUGGAGCAUUUGAGAUGAUAAUACGAGGACUGUUCAUUUUUUGCAGAUUCAUUUGAUUAUUUCUCCAUUAGACCCUCUGCUUUAUUAAGGUUUGUAAUGGAGUAAAAUUGGCAUGAUAUGAUGGAAAUCAUAAAGAGUUGUGGUGAAAAAGAGGAGAGCCUUUGUAAAAAAGUAGAACAUGGAAACCGAAAUCACUAAGAUGCGUAACAUAAUCUAAAUGUCUCAUUUGAUCAAAUCUCAUUGGAUGAGGUAUACCUCAAUGCCAUAAAAUGCCUUAAUGAAUGAGGGGGCAGUUUCAUUCUUUUGUUGCAUUGUACCCUCAUUUUGUGAAAACUAACCGGUUUCCUCUUACUAUCAGUUUGGCCUACUAAAACACUAACUCUGCAGACUAAUCAAUUUAUGUGAUGUUUUUUCCUUAAAUCUGUCUGUUUUUUUAUCCUGCCUUCCAUCCAAGGCCAUUAAACAUACUGCAUAAUCUAUUGUUAUGUGACAGAACUACGAAGGUUGUGCUCAGAGUGACUUUUCAAAGUUGCCAUAUUGCAUUCUCAUAACAUGUCUGUUAUGCUGUUGUGCUUUUGUUAUGUUGCAUAGGAGUUACAGCAAAGUUGUAGGAAUGUUACCUGUUUGAAGGGUUGGGAGUUCAGAAUUUCUCUCCUUUUCUUCCAGUCUGCUCGGUGCCUCUCUGUCGUGUGAAUUCUGCAUGCAAGAGCUGCUCCUAUUGCUCUGGAAACCUAAAUCAGUGGUUCAACAACUAACAAAUGCCAGUAAACCUGGCUACUAACCUUUACUAACAGAGAUUAACCAACUAUACUAAAACCUUUGCAAGCCUGCUAAAUAAGCGCUCUCUGUCUAUACUGUAAAUGUCUUUCUGCUGCUGUGGUCUUUUCUCUUUUUCUCUUGUCCUGCUGCUACUAUUGUCAGUUAGUGUGGGUGUGUUUAUAUUUGUGAGGAAGCCAGAGCAUGUGAGAGCGUAAGUCAAUGUGUGCGCAUGUGUGAGGAUGAAAGGGUGUGUAUAUGUAUGUUUGUGUGUGUGAGUGAGAGUUAUUGGAUGUGUUUACUUAUUUCAGUGCAAGUGACUUUCUGAACAUUGCUUUCUUUACCAGUCAUGCGCACAGCUGAUGUGUACAGGAGCGAUUCUGUGAAAAAUCUGCAGCCAUCUUCUUUCUGGCAUUCUGUGCCAGUGGACUUACUAACAAUGUCUAACAUUUUACUAACGUUUUCUAACAAUCUGGGUACUAACUGCCUUAGUGUUUGGUUCUCAUGUGAUGUGGGCUGGGCUUCCUGUAAGCUGUGAGAUGCUGACUAACUGCUAUUGAUGGGCUCUCUGACCCAUUUUGACCACACCUCUGGUUCUGAAACCCUUUCUCACCCCUGCUGGAGCCAUGUGAUGAA